CGCCUACGGGGCGCAGCAGUGGGGAAUAUUGCACAAUGGGGGAAACCCUGAUGCAGCGACGCCGCGUGAAGGACGAAGUAUUUCGGUACGUAAACUUCUAUCAGCAGGGAAGAAAAUGACGGUACCUGACCAAGAAGCCCCGGCUAACUACGUGCCAGCAGCCGCGGUAAUACGUAGGGGGCAAGCGUUAUCCGGAUUCACUGGGUGUAAAGGGAGCGUAGACGGCGAGACAAGUCUGGAGUGAAAGGCCGGGGCCCAACCCCGGGACUGCUCUGGAAACUGCCUGGCUGGAGUACAGGAGAGGG
Molecule: ribosomal RNA, 305 nt
Filed under: uncultured bacterium
Lineage: Bacteria
Description: bacterial SSU rRNA
Rfam family: Bacterial small subunit ribosomal RNA
Source: RNAcentral